UUUUUUUUUUUUUUUGCGCUUUUAGGCCCGCACCCUAGGCAUAUGGAGCAGCCCAAGAAAUGGCAAAAAGACAAAAAUAAAAAAUAAAAUAAAAUAAAAUGCCCCAGACACACACCCCUCAAAACCUUCUUACCCUCACGUCAAAAUGGGCAGAGGUCAGUUACCACAUAUUAGAAGGCGGCCGGGCAAUGCCGACGCUGCAAGGGCAGCAGCCACUGGCUCCAAAGGUACAAAGUUCGCUGAGCCAUCCGAAGGUCAUUCAACAAGCAGCAGCAACAGAAGCACCUUCCCCUCAACUCCCACGGCCCCAACCACUUCUCUUUUUUUGGCAAAAAGCUAGCGGGUUGCCUUAGCCACUGUCGAGCUAACUCCAAAGCUGAAGAGAAAAUGUUAGAGUAGCAAGUACUUCAAGGGCUUAUAAGAGAAAAACUUCCAUUUAUAGCAAUGCAGAGAAAUAGCUGCAAAAGGCACCAACUUUGCUGUGUUUGAAUUUGUAAAAUGUUUUAAAAGUUGUAAAGAAUUAAGUGACCCACUGACCUAGCUAACUGGAAAUCUAAAGACUGCCGGAAUUUCGUGUGGAAAAUCUGAGGUAAAUGUCCUUCAUUUGACCAAAUAACUAAUCAACUACCCAUCCACAUGCAGAAAGCUGAGCAGCAGUCUCUGCAGGAGGAGAACCGGGCGGAAGCCUCAGAGCGACACGUCAAAAGCCAAAGAGAAAGGAAAGUGAAAAAAUACAAAACUUCCAAAAUUCAGCUGCUUUCCUAAAGCAGGAGCAAUUUGGAAGUAGGCUACAGCAGGAAACCAACUUCUCUUUGUUGCUUUCUGCAUUUCUAAACCCAUUCUUUUUCAUAAGAAAAGUAGUUGCCCCUUUUCUCACAAAGAAAUACCCAAUGGCUUACAUCACGGGACAACCACAAUGCUUACAAACCACUUUUUAAUAAAUGAGAAUAAUUCACACUUUUUUUAUAUUUUGACAAAAGCUUAUCCUGACAUUAGCGUUCUUUCUGCACAAUGAAAGCCCUGAAAGACACGGGUCCUGGAGCACGUCCCGGUCCUCCUCGGUCCCCUGGAGCAGACGUCUACAGAUGGCAGGUCACAGACCAGACAGAGUGGCAUCCAAGCAGAGGCUGGGUGUGCAAAGACUGUCAUUAUUUCACAUGCCCAGGGAAAGCGUCCAUAACUCAAGAAAAGUUUUGUUUGGCUUUUCCAAAGUACCAAAAAGGGGAGACUUGGUCAAAAGGGUCUCCUAAUUUACACAGUACUAGAGGCAACACAUCAAACACACCUUACGAAUGAACAUGAAAACCACAUGAAGAGGUGUGUCUUACUGAACCCACAGGAAGUAAGUCUGGCCAGGCACUUACUCUCAUCAUGACAGGUGAAUCUCUCUAGAGACCUGCACUUCCAAGUCCUGGGGAGAACCGUGACUAACCUGUACAUAAGUGAUGAAGGAGUGACCCACGCAUACCAACCACAGGGCGAAAAGCAGAUGCAGACUGUCAACCCAGUACCAGCACCGAAGCAUGUCGAGAACCAAAAGCCUCACUCCUUCUGCUUACGGACGAACGACAAGGAACCACCUACUCCUCUGGAUGCCACACCCGUUUCUGGUCACCAGACGGAGGUCCAGAGAAGCACUUUUACCUCUUCCCUCCCUGCCCAUCUGACAGGUCCAGCCAAUCUCACAUCGAAGAUGGCUCCUGAAGUCAUGGCCCUUUCUUUUUUCUUUUUUUUUUUCCUUUUUGCCUUUUCUAGGGCUGCUCCUGCGGCACAUGGAGGUUCCCAGGCUAGGGGUCUAACCAGAGCUGUAGCCUCCGGCCUACACCACAGCCACAGCAAUUGGGAUCCGAGCCACCUCUGCAACCUACACCACAGCUCACGGCAACACCGGAUCCGUAACCCACUGAGCAAGGCCAGGGAUUGAACCCACAACCUCAUGGUUCCUAGUCGGAUUCGUUAACCACUGAGCCACGACGGGAACUCCUGGAGUCAUGGCCUUUCUUCAGGCUCUCCUUACCUCCUACGUAAGUGUCCUUCCUUCUACUUACAACCUAAACUCAGAUUACAGGCCACCUCUGCUAAAUCACGGCUCAGAUCUUCUGCCAAAAUUCCUUUAACAAAUAUUCAUGGAACAGGUACUAUGUGCCAAUCACUCUUCUAAAUUCAGGGGAUACUUCUGCAAUUCUAACAGCUUAAUGGGAAUCAUCUGUAACUUUUAUUGCCCACCAAAUAUCUCCAGAAUCUUUGCUGGGCACUUGAGGUCAUCUCUGAAGUAGACGAAACGUGCCUUUCCUGCCUUAAUCCAUGUACUC
Molecule: long non-coding RNA, 2312 nt
Filed under: Sus scrofa (pig)
Lineage: Eukaryota; Metazoa; Chordata; Mammalia; Artiodactyla; Suidae
Description: lncRNA (ENSSSCG00015074550.1)
Source: RNAcentral